Small nuclear RNA from Artibeus jamaicensis (Jamaican fruit-eating bat), 103 nucleotides. Lineage: Eukaryota; Metazoa; Chordata; Mammalia; Chiroptera; Phyllostomidae. The record is from RefSeq and is a predicted model, not a curated record.
GUGCUUGCUUUGGUAGCACAUAUAUUAAAACUAGAACAAUUCAUAGAAAAUUAGCAUGGCCCUUGUACAAGGAUGACAUGCAAAUUUGUGAAGAAAAUAUUUU